RNAcentral lists this ribosomal RNA (549 nucleotides) under uncultured bacterium. RNAcentral describes it as "bacterial SSU rRNA". It matches the Rfam family "Bacterial small subunit ribosomal RNA", at positions 356 to 896 of the family's 1533-position model. The record is from RNAcentral.
GGGGAAUAUUGGACAAUGGGCGAAAGCCUGAUCCAGCCAUGCCGCGUGUGUGAAGAAGGCCUUUUGGUUGUAAAGCACUUUAAGCGAGGAGGAGGCUACUUGGAUUAAUACUCUAGGAUAGUGGACGUUACUCGCAGAAUAAGCACCGGCUAACUCUGUGCCAGCAGCCGCGGUAAUACAGAGGGUGCGAGCGUUAAUCGGAUUUACUGGGCGUAAAGCGUGCGUAGGCGGCUUUUUAAGUCGGAUGUGAAAUCCCUGAGCUUAACUUAGGAAUUGCAUUCGAUACUGGGAAGCUAGAGUAUGGGAGAGGAUGGUAGAAUUCCAAGUGUAGCGGUGAAAUGCGUAGAGAUCUGGAGGAAUACCGAUGGCGAAGGCAGCCAUCUGGCCUAAUACUGACGCUGAGGUACGAAAGCAUGGGGAGCAAACAGGAUUAGAUACCCUGGUAGUCCAUGCCGUAAACGAUGUCUACUAGCCGUUGGGGCCUUUGAGGCUUUAGUGGCGCAGCUAACGCGAUAAGUAGACCGCCUGGGGAGUACGGUCGCAAGACUA